GAAAAACAGAAUCCAAUUUGUCUAAUAAAAAGAAGAAAAACAAAGAAGUCUUGAAGAACAAGAACAUAGAAUAUUGUUUGCUCCCAUGGCUUUGUGCGUCUUUGACAUAUUAAUCUAAUGUUUCUGUCGAUUUUUCAGGAAGCAACAUUGACAAUGAGAAAAGAAAUUCAAGAUCUGAAGUUUAUUCAGAUCAAAAGAAAAAAGAAAUUCAAGAUCUUAAUUAGGACAAAUGCAAAGGUCUUUUAGCUAAGCUAGUUAUGUACUUUCACACCCUUGAUCUCCCUCAUGUACAUUUUAUGUGCCCUUGAAUAUAGAUCUGUUAUAUAAUUGAAAACAAGUUUAGAACCAAAUAGAUUAAGGAUCCGAUUCUGGAGUUUUGGUCUGGGUUCUUAUGUGUCCUUGUUCUUGUGGAAUUCUUUGUUUUUUUUCAAUUAUUAGACAAAUUGGAUUUUGAUUUUUAGAUUUUAAAUUCUGAUUUUUUUCUUCUUUUCUUUUUAUUUGAUUUGUAAUGAAGUUAGGUGAUACCACGUCACUUGCCACAUCAAUUAGUCAUAUGUUGACAUCAUAUUUACAAUUGAUCGGGGACGCUGGGGUGGAGGCGCGCCCUCGCCGGCCCCGUACGGUGGCGAACGGAGGGACGUCCGCACUUUAAGGGUGUGCGGACGUCCUCCUCUGAUCCAGACUGUACAUAUAUANNNNN
Molecule: long non-coding RNA, 700 nt
Filed under: Fragaria vesca (wild strawberry)
Lineage: Eukaryota; Viridiplantae; Streptophyta; Magnoliopsida; Rosales; Rosaceae
Description: long non-coding RNA (FVES_LNC001072)
Source: RNAcentral